RNAcentral lists this ribosomal RNA (572 nucleotides) under uncultured bacterium. RNAcentral's name for it is "bacterial SSU rRNA". It matches the Rfam family "Bacterial small subunit ribosomal RNA", at positions 336 to 916 of the family's 1533-position model. The record is from RNAcentral.
CUCCUACGGGAGGCAGCAGUAAGGGAUAUUGCACAAUGGGCGCAAGCCUGAUGCAGCGACGCCGCGUGAGGGAUGACGGCCUUCGGGUUGUAAACCUCUUUCAGGAAGGACGAAGCGAAAGUGACGGUACUUCCAGAAGAAGCCCCGGCCAACUACGUGCCAGCAGCCGCGGUAAUACGUAGGGGGCAAACGUUGUCCGGAUUUAUUGGGCGUAAAGAGCUCGUAGGCGGCUCAGCAAGUCGGCCGUGAAAGCCCGAGGCUCAACCUCGGGAGGCCGGUCGAAACUGCUGUGGCUAGGGUCCGGUAGAGGAGAGUGGAAUUCCCGGUGUAGCGGUGAAAUGCGCAGAUAUCGGGAGGAACACCAGUAGCGAAGGCGGCUCUCUGGGCCGGUACCGACGCUGAGGAGCGAAAGCGUGGGGAGCAAACAGGAUUAGAUACCCUGGUAGUCCACGCCGUAAACGUUGGGCACUAGGUGUGGCGGACUCAUCAACGUUCGCCGUGCCGAAGCUAACGCAUUAAGUGCCCCGCCUGGGGAGUACGGCCGCAAGGCUAAAACUCAAAGGAAUUGACGG